AGGAGGGCAUAAGAUGCCGUAGGCAUAAGAUGCCACAGGCACAUGCUGUCUCUCAUGCGAAGAUGAGAAGAGUACAAGAUGUUGUUGGCAUAAGAUGCUGCAAGCAGAUACUACCUCUCAUGAGGGCUAACUAGCCAGACCCUCAAAAUACUGUCAAGGAGGGCACAAGAUGCCGUAGGCACAAGAUGCUGCAGGCACAUGCUGCCUCUCAUAUG
This 215-nucleotide long non-coding RNA is filed under the name Elaeis guineensis (African oil palm). Its description in RNAcentral is "long non-coding RNA (EGUI_LNC075701)". Lineage: Eukaryota; Viridiplantae; Streptophyta; Magnoliopsida; Arecales; Arecaceae. The record is from RNAcentral.